CUUCACAGAAUUGCAAAGAAAUAUAAAACAGCAAAGUUAAAAAAGGAGGAGGAGGAUAGGGAGGGAUAAGGCUUGAAAACAUUAUCAUCCUUCACUGACUCCUGUUUCUCCUCCUGCUCACAACACUUACAAAGGAGCCUCAGAAACCAAAGCUACAUCAUUCAGGCCCAGUUAUGAAAGUGUGUGUUGGCAUUAGAACAUAUUAGAAGGACUUUGAGGGCCUAACUAAACAGGGAAUUUCAUAUACCGUAAGACAACUUUUAACUUCAUAACAUAUAGGUAAGUGUGUGUUGGAAUUAGACCACAUUAGAGGAACUUUGAGGGCCUAACUAAACAGGGAAUUUCAUAUACUUUAAGACAACUGAUUACUUCAUUUCAUACACAUAAGUGUGUGUUGGAAUUAGACCACAUUAGAGGAACUUUGAGGGCCUAACUAAACAGGGAAUUUCAUAUACUUUAAGACAACUGAUUACUUCAUUUCAUACACAUAAGUGUGUGUUGGAAUUAGACCACAUUAGAGGGACUUUGAAGGCCUAACUAAACAGGUAAUUUCAUGUAGAGCAAGACAACUGAUAACUUCAUUUCAUAAAUAAGUGUGUGUUGGCAUUAGACCGCAUAAGAGGGACUUUGAGGGCCCAACUAAACAGGUCAUCUCGUAUACAGGCAAGACAACUGAUAUCUUUAAAGGGGAGCAAUUAGGAAGGUGGGUUAAGAGGGCAGGCAUUUGUGACGGGGUGACUGGCGCCUUACAUGAGGACACCCAAGGCAAUGGCACGGAACAUCUUUGAACUCUAGGUGGGCAAAACACAAGGCAAAGCGAGGGCAGCCUUGGCUCAGCGUCUCCUGCUCUCAAGACACGUGUGAGGCAUCUCCUCCGUGAGCAAAACAAAUGACGGAGCAUAACAAUAAAACAUUUAAGUCUGAAUGAUUCGAGAGCCAAGUCUGUGGGUGAGACUGAUGGCUAUUUGUGUGAAGUUAGAGUAAGCAAAAUUCAGCCCAGGUCUCACUGCUACGAUUUACAGACAACAUAAAUCAGUAAAAAUGAUAUGCAGAGGUUCAGUAAGUAUGAAAAGUAUAUAAAGCAUCUAGGGUGUAGUACAGAUGUGCCUUGGCAGAAUGAAUACACUGUCAGGGUUGGAGAUGGUGACCAAGCAAUAACACACAGACUCACACAUGUAAUCCUUAAAGCCUUGAGGACUAAUCUGGACUUGGUAACAUGUAGCUAUUCACAGGGACAUUAUCUUCUUGUAAAUUGACAUACACCACAUGUAAUCAUUAAAGCCUUGAGGACUAAACUGGACUUGGUAACAUAAAGCUAUUCACAGGGACAUUAUCUUCUUGUGCAUUAACAUACACCACUAUUUUCUGCCCUAUAAAAGCCAUUCACACCCACACUAUUUAUUUUCUGCCCUAUAAAAGCCAUUCACACCCACACUAACUUAUUUUCUGCCCUAUAAAAGCCAUUCACACCCACACUAUUUAUUUUCUGCCCUAUAAAAGCCAUUCACACCCACACUACUUAUUUUCUGCCCUAUAAAAGCCAUUCACACCCACACUAACUUAUUUUCUGCCCUAUAAAAGCCAUUCACACCCACACUAACUUAUUUUCUGCCCUAUAAAAGCCAUUCACACCCACACUAACUUAUUUUCUGCCCUAUAAAAGCCAUUCACACCCACACUAACUUAUUUUCUGCCCUAUAAAAGCCAUUCACACCCACACUAACUUAUUUUCUGCCCUAUAAAAGCCAUUCACACCCACACUAACUUAUUUUCUGCCCUAUAAAAGCCAUUCACACCCACACUAACUUAUUUUCUGCCCUAUAAAAGCCAUUUACACCCACAAUAACUUAUUUUCUGCCCUAUAAAAGCCAUUCACACCCACAAUAACUUAUUUUCUGCCCUAUAAAAGCCAUUCAUUCUCAUACUAACAACAGGAUGAAAGCUGUGAUGCCUGUGUUUCUAGGGACUCUGGGCUACUGCUGUCAGGCUACCAGUGGCCUACACACAGACAACUCUACAACAGACGACUACUGGUGGUGCCGGGUGUGGUGAUGUGGAAGGAAUCAGGUCCUGCAAACGUGUCUUUUGAACUCAGUGGCUGCCGGUCAUUGUCUCAGGAGGGAGGAGGAGUUGGCGCUUGGGUCUGGGCACGUAAGUAGUUUCAUACACUCGUUUAUCAUAGUUAACCCCAGCCCCCUUGGCUAGGACGUAUAACAAAGUUGUGUUUGGAUGGACUCUUUCAGACACACACACACACACACACACACACACACACACACACACACACACACAGCUGUUUUACAUCACUGAGUCCAAACACGUUCCGAACAUGUUCACUGCUCAUGCUAGUUCAUGGAGGGAUGAAAGCUUGGGUCAUACACUUGCUGGGUGACUUGUAUUAUGUCUGUUUGUGCCAAAGGGAAGUGCCAGGGCAGCAGGUUAUACACAGUCUUCACAUGCAAAAACUCUGGCUACUCAGUGCUUGGAGGGAUGAAAGCUUGGGUAAUACAUUUGUUGGGUGACUUAUAUUUCCCCAUGUGUCUCUCAUUGCCAGAGCAGCAGGUUAUAUACAGUCUCUAUAUGCAAAACUUCUGGCUGGGAAUCUAUGCAAAUAUAUGCAAUUCUUCAGCUUCAGAACAAGUAGUGGUGUUUAUGAGGAACAUUUUAUAUUGUACAGCAAAUAGGGACACAGGUCUUAUUGGACUGCCAAAGACUCUUAUUGCAAAAAUAUGACUCUGAGGCUAUUGUACACACACACACACACACACACACACACACACACACACACACACAUAUCAGGUUCACAGACACCAACACAAUAUUAAGCAGUGACUGAGGGCAAGACAUUGUUUCCUAUUUCCAGCAGUAAGCUCACACUGAGAAGCUGCCUUUACAUAGUGGCAGUGGUGAGCUUGUAGAGUAUCACAGAAUCAUCAGGUUCAUGGACAAGCUACAGGACUCAACACAUUCAUCGGUAAGCUCAUUAACACAAAUCAUCAGGUUCAAGGACAAGCUACAGGACUCAACGCAUUCAUCGGUAAGCUCAUUAACACAAAUCAUCAGGUUCAAGGACAAGCUACAGGACUCAAUACAUUCAUCGGUAAGCUCAUUAACACAAAUCAUCAGGUUCAAGGACAAGCUACACGGCUCAACGCAUUCAUUGGUAAGCUCAUUAACACAAGUCAUCAGGUUCAUGGACAAGAUACAGGACUCAACGCAUUCAUCAGUAAGCUCUCGACUAAUUGCAGAGGCUUUCGUUUUCUCUUAUUCAACACAAGAGUAGCUACAUGGCUCAACGCAUUCAUCGGUAAGCUCUCAACUACCUGCAGAGGCUUUCAUAUCUUCAACACAGUGUUAGUAAUGAUGGUUUAGUGUAUAAGUGAUGACUGACACUUCAAUGCUGUGGUUCUUUUUGCAGGUACAGACACAGUGAGCCUCAAUACACGAUCACAUGCUAUAAGCCCAAGCCAAGAUGUAAUUGAGUAUUGCUUGUCUAACAUAGGCAGCACAAACUCUUAGCAUAUACAUUGAAGAUUGGCCGGGCAACAUAGACAUGAACCGAGCAAUGACAAACAUGAAAGCUUCCACAAGUGUUGCCAGCUUGUGUGACAUCCAGGAACUUAUUUUGGUGAAGACAGUGACCUUGACCUCCUUAUAUUGUGUUAGGAAAAGGUCAGGUUCAGAUAACAACACAGAACAGGUGAGUCUAUAAUAAACUGUCACUUUCCCUCUGACUAAAGCAUUCACUAGGGUUUAAAACUGGUCUUGCCUUCGUUGAUCAUAUAGGUACACGUUAUUAUCUACCCUAAAGCCGUCACUGGGUAGCAUAGUGUUGUAUUGCUGGGAAAACGUCGUCUGUCCAUAACAUUUGCAAGAUAAACCAAGAUAUGUAUUUAACAGAACCUUAUCACUUGUCUCAUGGCACAGAGGGAGUAACUUAUUUUUGGUGAAGACAGUGAGCUUGACCUUUUUAUAUUGUGUUAGGAAAAGCUCAGGUUCGGAUAACAACACAAAACAGGUGAGUCUAUAAUAAUCUGUCACUCUCCCUCUGACUAAAGCAUUCACUGGGGUUUAAAACUGGUCUUGCCUUUGUUGAUCAUAAAGGUACACAUUAUUAUUUACGCUAAAGCCGUCGCUGGGUAGCAUAGUAUUGUAUUGCUGGGAAAACGUCUUCUAUCACCAACACAUGUAUUUAACAGAACCUUAUCACGUCUCUCAUGGCACAGAGGGAGUACUGGCUUACCUAGUGGCUGGGAGGUGAAGUAAGGGAGGAGAUACUGAGACACAAAAACUAACAGAAUUACAUAGAAUUACAUAGAUAACCAGACUACACAGGCCCUAAGGCCCAAACUAGGUGGACUGUCCUAAACCUAAGUGACAGUUGUUUAUGUGGCCACCAUGGCGUUGAAACUGACCUAGUGAACAUUUAGAUGGAGGAGAUAGCGGUCAAGAUUAUUCUUAAACAAUGCAAUCGAGUUACACUGCACCACUGAUGGUGUUAAUCUGUUCCAAUCUCAAACGACAGCAUUAGUGAAGAAGAAUUUUGAGCAAUCUGAAUGAACUUGUCUACAUUUGAGUUUAGCGCCAUUAUUUCUCGUUCACGUCGAAUCAUCCAUCACAAACAGCUUGGUCAGAUCCACGUUGGUAAAACUGUUAAGUAUUUUAAAGCACUCGAUCAGUUUUCCUCUGAGGCGGCGUUUUACAAGAGAAAACAGGUUUAGAUGUGACAGCCUUUCCUCGUAGGGUUUGUUUCGUAAUGAAGGAAUCAACGUAAUGAAGAAACAACUUAUAGCAGCAUCAGCAGUAAUGGUAGUAGUAGUAACUGUAGUAGUAGCAGUAGUCGUUGUAGUAGUAGUAGUGGACCAGAGUAUGUCACCAUUCCUAAGCACAGUAGAAUGACGUCUACCGAGUGGAUGCCGAACCAAAGACUUAACAAGCUUAUAGCACCAGCGAAAACUCUCUAUAAGCUGUGAAAAUUCUCUCUCUCUCUCUCUCUCUCUCUCUCUCUCUCUCUCUCUCUCUCUCUCUCUCUCUCUCUCUCUCUCACAACUUCACA
This is a long non-coding RNA of Eriocheir sinensis (Chinese mitten crab), 5056 nucleotides long. RefSeq lists it as uncharacterized. The record is from RefSeq and is a predicted model, not a curated record. NCBI's taxonomy places the organism in Eukaryota, Metazoa, Arthropoda, Malacostraca, Decapoda, Varunidae. The transcript has 2 exons.